RNAcentral lists this long non-coding RNA (672 nucleotides) under Mustela putorius furo (domestic ferret). Its description in RNAcentral is "lncRNA (ENSMPUG00000030546.1)". The record is from RNAcentral. Lineage: Eukaryota; Metazoa; Chordata; Mammalia; Carnivora; Mustelidae.
GCUGUACUGUGGGAGCUGGUUAGGAGGUCUUAGUCAGGGUGAAAAGUUAUUUCUUUGUCUAGUGCUGGCACCUGAAGUCCACAGGCAGUUGGGAAAAGAAGAUGGAUGUGAAGUAGAGCAAGCAAAGACAAGUUGGAUAAAAGGGAAGGUGGUGCCUUCCAUCACAGAGCUAAAUACGCAUCUGGUCCAAGAGUCAGGGAAGCUGAUCCAGCAGGAGGAUCUGGCAGAGGCCCAGCUGCUGCCCCAGGCCCUCAAGCUCUAUGUCCUUGGACCAGAUACUGCAUUGAUGAGUAUAUGUUUCAAAGUUUUGUUGUACAAAUGAAAUGAAAAGACAUAGCACAUAAUGUACGGUAAGUGGCUUAUAAUUGGCACCCAAUGAAUGGAAAUGGUUAUUAUCACAAGUCUUUUGAUCUUGGGAAUACUAAUAUGUUAGUUGAAAUAGAGGGUUUUUAAAAAGGCUUUUCUCUUUAUUCUACACCUAGUGAUUUUAAAAAACAACAGGGUUGAUUAGUAGUUACUGGGGCUGCAUAUUUAAAUGCAGCUGAGUUUUGUACAUUUAGAUCCAAGUCUGGGUGACAUUGCACUAGUCAGUUAAAGUCUCUGGGUGUUAGAAUCCUCAUCUGUAAAUUAAUGGAGUUGGACCAGCUAAUCUUUAAGGUCCCCCCCCCCCAC